Molecule: ribosomal RNA, 483 nt
Filed under: uncultured bacterium
Lineage: Bacteria
Description: partial 16S ribosomal RNA
Rfam family: Bacterial small subunit ribosomal RNA
Source: RNAcentral
AUUGAACGCUGCGGAAUGCUUUACACAUGCAAGUCGAGCGGCAGCGCGGCCUUCGGGCUGGCGGCGAGCGGCGAACGGGUGAGUAAUGCAUCGGAACAUGCCCAGUCGCGGGGGAUAACACUUCGAAAGAAGUGCUAAUACCGCAUACGUCCUGAGGGGGAAAGCGGGGGAUCGCAAGACCUCGCGCGAUUGGAGUGGCCGAUGUCAGAUUAGCUAGCUGGUGGGGUAAAGGCCUACCAAGGCGACGAUCUGUAGCUGGUCUGAGAGGAUGAUCAGCCACACUGGGACUGAGACACGGCCCAGACUCCUACGGGAGGCAGCAGUGGGGAAUUUUGGACGAAGGGGGCAACCCUGAUCCAGCAAUUCCGCGUGAGUGAAGAAGGCCUUCGGGUUGUAAAGCUCUGUCGGCAGGAACGAAACGGUGGGCUCUAACAUAGUCCGCUAAUGACGGUACCUGAAGAAGAAGCACCGGCUAACUACGUG